Molecule: unclassified non-coding RNA, 264 nt
Filed under: soil metagenome
Description: partial contains small subunit ribosomal RNA, internal transcribed spacer 1, and 5.8S ribosomal RNA
Source: RNAcentral
UUUCCGUAGGUGAACCUGCGGAAGGAUCAUUAUUGAACUGUCAACACGAGUUGUUGCUGGCCCUCAAAUGGGGGCAUGUGCACACUCUGUUUACAAAUCCACUCACACCUGUGCACCCUCUGUAGUUCUAUGGUGUGGAAGGACACUGUCCUCUGACCAUGGUUCUAUGUCUUUACACACACACACAGUGACAAAGUCUAAUGGGAUGUAUGUGGCGUUUAAUGCAAUAUAAUACAACUUUCAGCAACGGAUCUCUUGGCUCUC